RNAcentral lists this transfer RNA (75 nucleotides) under Aureispira sp. RNAcentral's name for it is "tRNA-Ala". It matches the Rfam family "tRNA". From Rfam's summary of the family: Transfer RNA (tRNA) molecules are approximately 80 nucleotides in length. Lineage: Bacteria; Pseudomonadati; Bacteroidota; Saprospiria; Saprospirales; Saprospiraceae. The record is from RNAcentral. RNAcentral also lists the same sequence under 1 other name.
GGGGGAUUAGUUUAAUUGGGAAAACACGAGCCUUGCAAGUUCACGUUAUCGGUUCGACUCCGUUAUCCUCCACCA